CGCUGUGCUAUCGCUCCGGCUGCGACAUCUGUCACCCCAUUGAUCGCCAGGGUUGAUUCGGCUGAUCUGGCUGGCUAGGGGGGUGUCCCCUUCCUCCCUCACCACUCCAUGUGCGUCCCUCCCGAAGCUGCGCGCUCGGUCGAAGAGGACGGCCUUCCCCGAAUAGAGUCGGACCGGUCUUCGGUCGAGGGUAUACGAGUAGCUGCGCUCCCCUGCUAGAACCUCCAAACAAGCUGAAUUCCUUCUUAAAGGACGUCAUGGACACACUUUAGUGUCUGUGGCAUAAUUUAUAUGGAACACCUCAUUU
This 307-nucleotide small nuclear RNA is filed under the name Sorex araneus (European shrew). Its description in RNAcentral is "7SK RNA (ENSSARG00000015794.1)". It matches the Rfam family "7SK RNA". From Rfam's summary of the family: 7SK was discovered as an abundant small nuclear RNA in the mid-70s but a possible function has only recently been suggested. Two independent studies have found that 7SK RNA binds the CDK9/cyclin T complex (known as elongation factor P-TEFb). Lineage: Eukaryota; Metazoa; Chordata; Mammalia; Eulipotyphla; Soricidae. The record is from RNAcentral.